CGGGUCCCUCCGAUCUAGUCACUUCCUCUUUGUGCUGAUUAAACUUCUGACUCACUCUUUCACAGGACCGCGUACGAAAUCGGGCUACUCAGGUUAAUAAUGGCAACUAAUGGUGGACAACGCUUUAACUUCUGCAACAAUUGUGGUACGGCCAACGUCAAGGUAGAUGUCAACACUGCCUCGAUUAUCAGUGAAGGCAAGCAAGAACCUGUGCCAGUCGAAAUGAACAUUGGUAACAAAGCAAAGAAGAUAACAGCUGAUAUCAAGGUGAACAAAUCUGAUGGUAACCCUCAGCAGCUGCCCCAGCAGGGUCCACAAGUCACCGGGGAGUCAAGACAGUGUUCUGAAGAUACACAGGCUCGGCAAGCUGUCUCCGAAGCGUCUGACAAUGAUGGCAGUACCAGCUAGAUGAUGCUUCUCCUAUCUUUGGCUUGUACAAAUACAUCAGCUGCCAGAGGAAACCAACCAAUCCAUAUCAUGAAACAUCUCCCAAGACGACAGUUUAAAGAGAACAGCGAUACAGGAUUUCUCCUUGUUCGUAUUCUCACAACAGAUUCCAGAUAUUUUGUGUUUAGGAAGUCGCAUUGUAUGUGGCCACAGCAGAAAGAAAUGGCCCUAUGUUCAGAAACAUAUUUUUAAGUAAUUUGUGCCAGUCAUUCAUAAGAGCUGUUUUUACAUCGGCAUUGAAAAACAAUAGUUCAAAUCACCAUAAUAAACUUAGCUUUGGAAUAUAAAGUGGAGAAAAAAAAACCAACAAAUAUGAAAUGUGAUAUGAAUAUUUGUACACAUAAUAUAAAACCACUAGUGUGUAUGUGUUUGCAUGCAUGCAGACCUAAGUGUGUACUUCUACUAGUUUGUCAAUGUCAUUGUGGAAUAUUCAAGUAUAGAAAGUAACAAUUAUAUCCAACUUACUGAAUGUCACAGACAUAAUAAUGAGUAGUGAUAAUAUUGAAGUUGUUCUCAUAAAAAAUCUACUUUAUCUCUUUGCUUGACAGAUGGAUCAUGUUAUUAAACUUCCAAGUUUUCCAAACAUAAUAAAUCAAUAUUGCUUACAAAAUAUUUACAAUGGUGAGAAAAGCCACUAUUUAAACAGAGUAAAAAUAAAAAUAAUCCAAGUUUAUAAAGAUCAUCAGUGUUCCCUCAUCAAUGAAUGUACACCCAUAUUUUAUUUCUUAAAUAACUUCCAAAUGAACACAAUUACUCAUUGAUUCUAACAGUUUUUAUAUUUGAAUAUACCUUCCGUCCUACAGCAGUCAAGAAUUCAACAGAUGUAAAUUCUUCUGUUUGUUUUAAUCCUAAUAUUUUUUAUUCUCCUAUUUUCACUGAAUGUCAAUCUCAUAUUUACAUAUAUAAAACCAUUUAUUUAGUGAUAAAUACAAUUAAAUGUACUGUACUGCAUUAUUUUUAAUGAAUACUAUUCAUUUUUUAACCUUUCUCUUUGCAUACUGCUAGUGGCUAUUUUGUAGCACAUGUAUUAGUCAUUUUGACUUGGCAUAAUAAAUAAUUCUACUAUAUGGCA
This 1519-nucleotide unclassified non-coding RNA is filed under the name Pomacea canaliculata. RNAcentral describes it as "uncharacterized LOC112553921, transcript variant X3". Lineage: Eukaryota; Metazoa; Mollusca; Gastropoda; Architaenioglossa; Ampullariidae. The record is from RNAcentral.